RNAcentral lists this ribosomal RNA (54 nucleotides) under Sympetrum darwinianum. RNAcentral describes it as "partial 28S ribosomal RNA". The record is from RNAcentral. Lineage: Eukaryota; Metazoa; Arthropoda; Insecta; Odonata; Libellulidae.
ACCUCAGAGCAGGCGAGAUCACCCGCUGAAUUUAAGCAUAUUAUUAAGCAGGGG